GACGAACGCUGGCGGCGUGCUUAACACAUGCAAGUCGAACGGAAAGGCCCUGCUUUUGUGGGGUGCUCGAGUGGCGAACGGGUGAGUAACACGUGAGUAACCUGCCCUUGACUUUGGGAUAACUUCAGGAAACUGGGGCUAAUACCGGAUAGGAGCUCCUGCUGCGUGGUGGGGGUUGGAAAGUUUCGGCGGUUGGGGAUGGACUCGCGGCUUAUCAGCUUGUUGGUGGGGUAGUGGCUUACCAAGGCUUUGACGGGUAGCCGGCCUGAGAGGGUGACCGGCCACAUUGGGACUGAGAUACGGCCCAGACUCCUACGGGAGGCAGCAGUGGGGAAUAUUGCACAAUGGGCGGAAGCCUGAUGCAGCAACGCCGCGUGCGGGAUGACGGCCUUCGGGUUGUAAACCGCUUUCGCCUGUGACGAAGCGUGAGUGACGGUAAUGGAUAAAGAAGCACCGGCUAACUACGUGCCAGCAGCCGCGGUGAUACGUAGGGUGCGAGCGUUGUCCGGAUUUAUUGGGCGUAAAGGGCUCGUAGGUGGUUGAUCGCGUCGGAAGUGUAAUCUUGGGGCUUAACCCUGAGCGUGCUUUCGAUACGGGUUGACUUGAGGAAGGUAGGGGAGAAUGGAAUUCCUGGUGGAGCGGUGGAAUGCGCAGAUAUCAGGAGGAACACCAGUGGCGAAGGCGGUUCUCUGGGCCUUUCCUGACGCUGAGGAGCGAAAGCGUGGGGAGCGAACAGGCUUAGAUACCCUGGUAGUCCACGCUGUAAACGGUGGGUACUAGGUGUGGGGUCCAUUCCACGGGUUCCGUGCCGUAGCUAACGCUUUAAGUACCCCGCCUGGGGAGUACGGCCGCAAGGCUAAAACUCAAAGGAAUUGACGGGGCCCCGCACAAGCGGCGGAGCAUGCGGAUUAAUUCGAUGCAACGCGUAGAACCUUACCUGGGUUUGACAUGGAUCGGGAGUGCUCAGAGAUGGGUGUGCCUCUUUUGGGGUCGGUUCACAGGUGGUGCAUGCCUGUCGUCAGCUCGUGUCGUGAGAUGUUGGGUUAAGUCCCGCAACGAGCGCAACCCUUGUUCACUGUUGCCAGCACGUUAUGGUGGGGACUCAGUGGAGACCGCCGGGGUCAACUCGGAGGAAGGUGGGGAUGACGUCAAGUCAUCAUGCCCCUUAUGUCCAGGGCUUCACGCAUGCUACAAUGGCUGGUACAGAGAGUGGCGAGCCUGUGAGGGUGAGCGAAUCUCGGAAAGCCGGUCUCAGUUCGGAUUGGGGUCUGCAACUCGACCUCAUGAAGUCGGAGUCGCUAGUAAUCGCAGAUCAGCAACGCUGCGGUGAAUACGUUCCCGGG
Molecule: ribosomal RNA, 1343 nt
Filed under: uncultured bacterium
Lineage: Bacteria
Description: 16S ribosomal RNA
Rfam family: Bacterial small subunit ribosomal RNA
Source: RNAcentral